Molecule: ribosomal RNA, 518 nt
Filed under: uncultured bacterium
Lineage: Bacteria
Description: SSU rRNA
Rfam family: Bacterial small subunit ribosomal RNA
Source: RNAcentral
AGAACGAACGUUAGCGGCGCGCCUAACACAUGCAAGUCGAGCGAGAAAGGGGCAACCCCGGUAAAGCGGCGCACGGGUGAGUAACACGUAGGUAAUCUACCCUCGGGUGGAGGAUAACCUUCCGAAAGGAGGGCUAAUACUGCAUGAGACCACGACCUCGAAAGGGGAUGGGGUCAAAGCCGGCCACUUUUCAAAAGCUGGCGCCUGAGGUUGAGCCUGCGGCCCAUCAGCUAGUUGGUAGGGUAACGGCCUACCAAGGCGAAGACGGGUAGCUGGUCUGAGAGGAUGAUCAGCCACACUGGAACUGAGACACGGUCCAGACUCCUACGGGAGGCAGCAGUGGGGAAUCUUGCGCAAUGGGCGAAAGCCUGACGCAGCGACGCCGCGUGAGUGAUGAAGGCCUUCGGGUUGUAAAGCUCUGUGGGCGGGGACGAGUAAGGGUUGGCUAAUAUCCAACCUGAUGACGGUACCCGUUUAGCAAGCACCGGCUAACUCUGUGCCAGCAGCCGCGGUUAACG